GAUACAUUCUUUCCACACACUCAGAACAUCAGCUUGCAAGAAAUGAUGAAGCUUAGUGUAGAAUCAUGGACAACCACUGAACUCAGGUAGUCACCAGCAAAACACAGGAAACCACCACAGCUUUGCCAGCUGGCUUGGGACUUUUCAUUCCCUUCACCUUGGAGAGAAGAGUGUGCUCUGAUAUGAAUGAAGAUACAGGAUCAUUGUGGUCUGUUUUCCCCAUUCUUUGAGCCACCCCAAUGCAGGUACCAAGAGAAGAAACCUUUCUCUCUGCCCUUGAAAGAGUAAUAGGUAAAAUUGGACCUAUUGAAAUAUCAGACUUUGUCUUGUGGAUGGAUCGCUGCCAUCGGUGCAGGGUGAAUGGAAGAAAUAUCCUCCAAACAAAGGAUUUCGUAGGAUGCAAAU
This is a non-coding RNA of Coturnix japonica (Japanese quail), 405 nucleotides long. The record is from RefSeq and is a predicted model, not a curated record. Lineage: Eukaryota; Metazoa; Chordata; Aves; Galliformes; Phasianidae.